RNAcentral lists this ribosomal RNA (465 nucleotides) under Streptococcus sp. oral taxon C14. RNAcentral's name for it is "bacterial SSU rRNA". It matches the Rfam family "Bacterial small subunit ribosomal RNA", at positions 30 to 483 of the family's 1533-position model. Lineage: Bacteria; Bacillati; Bacillota; Bacilli; Lactobacillales; Streptococcaceae. The record is from RNAcentral.
AUUGAACGCUGGCGGCAGGCUUAACACAUGCAAGUCGAACGGUAACAUAAAGAAGCUUGCUUCUUUGAUGACGAGUGGCGGACGGGUGAGUAAUGCUUGGGAAUCUAGCUUAUGGAGGGGGAUAACUACGGGAAACUGUAGCUAAUACCGCGUAAUAUCGAAAGAUUAAAGUGUGGGACCUUCGGGCCACAUGCCAUAGGAUGAGCCCAAGUGGGAUUAGGUAGUUGGUGAGGUAAAGGCUCACCAAGCCGACGAUCUCUAGCUGGUCUGAGAGGAUGACCAGCCACACUGGGACUGAGACACGGCCCAGACUCCUACGGGAGGCAGCAGUGGGGAAUAUUGCGCAAUGGGGGCAACCCUGACGCAGCCAUGCCGCGUGAAUGAAGAAGGCCUUCGGGUUGUAAAGUUCUUUCGGUAGCGAGGAAGGCACUUAGUUUAAUAAACUAAGUGAUUGACGUAACUACA